This 866-nucleotide ribosomal RNA is filed under the name Neopestalotiopsis clavispora. RNAcentral's name for it is "LSU rRNA". It matches the Rfam family "Eukaryotic large subunit ribosomal RNA", at positions 66 to 957 of the family's 3401-position model. The record is from RNAcentral. Lineage: Eukaryota; Fungi; Ascomycota; Sordariomycetes; Amphisphaeriales; Sporocadaceae.
CAACAGGGAUUGCCUUAGUAACGGCGAGUGAAGCGGCAACAGCUCAAAUUUGAAAUCUGGCCCUUGGGUCCGAAUUGUAAUUUGUAGAGGAUGAUUUUGGUGCGGUAUCUUCCGAGUUCCUUGGAACAGGACGCCUUAGAGGGUGAGAGCCCCGUACGGUUGAAUGCCUAGCCUCUGUAAAUCUCCUUCGACGAGUCGAGUAGUUUGGGAAUGCUGCUCUAAAUGGGAGGUAAAUUUCUUCUAAAGCUAAAUAUUGGCCAGAGACCGAUAGCGCACAAGUAGAGUGAUCGAAAGAUGAAAAGCACUUUGAAAAGAGGGUUAAAUAGCACGUGAAAUUGUUGAAAGGGAAGGAUUUGUGACCAGACUUUUUCUGGGCGGAUCAUCCGGGGUUCUCUCCGGUGCACUUCGCCCAGUAAAGGCCAGCAUCGGUUUUCGGCGUGGGAUAAAAGCAGUAGGAAUGUGGCUCUCUACGGGGAGUGUUAUAGCCUAUUGUAUAAUACCGCGCUGGGGACCGAGGUUCGCGCUUCUGCAAGGAUGCUGGCGUAAUGGUUAUCAAUCACCCGUCUUGAAACACGGACCAAGGAGUCGAACAUUUGUGCGAGUGUUUGGGUGUUAAACCCUCACGCGUAAUGAAAGUGAACGGAGGUGAGAGCCCUUACGGGUGCAUCAUCGACCGAUCCUGAAGUUUUCGGAUGGAUUUGAGUAAGAGCAUAACUGUUCGGACCCGAAAGAUGGUGAACUAUGCGUGGAUAGGGUGAAGCCAGAGGAAACUCUGGUGGAGGCUCGCAGCGGUUCUGACGUGCAAAUCGAUCGUCAAAUCUGCGCAUGGGGGCGAAAGACUAAUCGAACCAUCUAGUAGCUGGUUA